UUAAUUUUUUAAUAAUUUUGCGCUCCUUUCAAUGAAGGGAGCACUUUUUUGUGCUUUAAGCGAUGGGGUGAUGCAUCGCUUUGAGUGCCACUUGUGCUUUUAACUACCUUGAUGCCCAGUUGGGUGAAUGUGAUAUCCCAACUUCCCAAUGGGAUUAACCCAAAUUGACUAAUGAAAAGGUAACAGCAUUUAACUACAAAUUAACCAUCCCCUUCAUCCCAGCAAGUCCAUAAUAGUCCAUAGCAAAAGUAUGUCCAUGAUGGUCCAUAGAAAGAGUAUAUCAUAUGAAUUAUAAUAUUUCAUCAACUACUGGGCCACAUGGCUACUAAUUGCAAGUUUAAGAGAAUUUCUUGCCUCAGAAGCAAGAUUGCCAACAU
This 377-nucleotide unclassified non-coding RNA is filed under the name Hevea brasiliensis (rubber tree). The record is from RNAcentral. Lineage: Eukaryota; Viridiplantae; Streptophyta; Magnoliopsida; Malpighiales; Euphorbiaceae.